Molecule: long non-coding RNA, 894 nt
Filed under: Medicago truncatula (barrel medic)
Lineage: Eukaryota; Viridiplantae; Streptophyta; Magnoliopsida; Fabales; Fabaceae
Description: lncRNA gene33594
Source: RNAcentral
AGUGAAAACAAAUAUGGCUGAAAUUCUCAAGGAUUUUUAUGCUAUGAAUUUAUUUAUUUUCUUAAUUAUUUUACCAGCAAAAAUUCGUGGUGGUUUUUCAGCGUGUAACUGAUGACGGUUGUCCAAAACCUGUGAACCAUUUAAGAGUUGUCAAGUGCAUUGAACACAUAUAAGAGGAGCAUUUUGAAGAGAGAGACCACCACUCACUUAUGACCCAUAAAUCUAUAGCUUUGAAAGAGGUGGAAGAAUAAUCCGUCAAUGUUGAAGAGAGUGAAUAAAGAAAAGAUGUGAGUUGUUUGAUUUGUUUGUAGAGAUGACAUUGCAAAAGGGCUUAUCGGUUCAGAUUUGAAAAAGAAAUAAAUUAUUCAACCUUCAAAAGUGGGAAAUGGAAUAAAAUCGAACACAUUUAUUCAUUGAUGAUGAUCUUUUUAGAGUUAAUGGACAAAACGAUUUUGCUGGUGAAAUGAAUGCAUAUCUGAAAAUAUGAAGAAAAUAGAGGCAUACAGAUUGUUUUUCAAAGCAGAGGUGUAUAUGAAAACUGGAAAAUUAAUUAGAGAAACAAAUAUCUGAUAUUCUGCAUUAAUAUAUUAAAAUAUGAUUUGGGAUUUUUUUAGUUUUUUAACUAGCAGGUGAUCAACUGCCAGCUGUCCUUCCAAACCAUAUUUGUGUAUCAUGCAUAAAUUUGUGUCUUGUGCAUUGUAAAUACCACCUAAAAAUAAAUGUGAAAUAUACCUUAUGAUAGAAUAUUUCAAAAGAUGUCAUCUAAAUAUUGUAUGGAUACCCAAAAAAGUUAUUAUUUUUUCUUUUCCUAACUUCAGGAACCUUUCAUUUAUGAUUAUAUAUGUACUUUAAAGUGAUGAUAAGACAACCGAAGAGUAUUAUUUAUAUUUCCUU